UGCAUCGGCCGGGAAUCGAACCCGGAACGCCCGCGUGGCAGGCGCGCAUUCUACCACUGAACCACCGAUGU
RNAcentral lists this transfer RNA (71 nucleotides) under Cordylochernes scorpioides. Its description in RNAcentral is "tRNA-Gly". Lineage: Eukaryota; Metazoa; Arthropoda; Arachnida; Pseudoscorpiones; Chernetidae. The record is from RNAcentral.